Molecule: long non-coding RNA, 712 nt
Organism: Eriocheir sinensis (Chinese mitten crab)
Lineage: Eukaryota; Metazoa; Arthropoda; Malacostraca; Decapoda; Varunidae
Exons: 3
Source: RefSeq, a predicted model, not a curated record
CCAAGCUGUUACGUCCACUGAGUAUAUAAAUGUGUGAUGGUUGACCUGUGUUCUUGAUUUACUCCUUUGAAAUAUAGAGGUUAAUCCUUCCCAUAGUGGCUACUGUAAAUAUGUCUAAACCUACACUUCAUAGCCUUUCUAACAUUAUAUUUAAAACCUGAUGUAGUGAUGUCUCGCCUAAUUCUUACUAUCUAAACACUAUCUUUGAGCCCUUGAAAUAUAGAGGUUAAUCCUUCCUAUAGUGGCUACUGUAAAUAUGUCUAAACCGACACUUCAUAGCCCUUCUAACAUUAUAUUUAAAACCUGAUGUAGUAAUGUCUCGCCUAAUUCUUACUAUCUAAACACUGUCUUUGAGCCCUUGAAAUAUAGAGGUUAAUCCUUCCUAUUGUGGCUACUGUAAAUAUGUCUAAACCGACACUUCAUAGCCCUUCUAACAUUAUCUUUAAAACCUGAUGUAGUAAUGUCUCGCCUAAUUCUUACUAUCUAAACACUGUCUUUGAACCCUAACUCAGUAACCCUUUAAACUAACUCCUUGUAAUCUCUCUUAACACUAUCUUUUCUAUUCUUAAAUCCUAACUCAACGUCUUGGCUAAUUCUUAUUAAACACUAUCUGUCUUUGAACCGUAACUCAGUAACCCUUUAAACUAACUCCCUGUAGCCUCUCUCUUAACAGUAUCUAUCUUAUCUAUCCUUAAAUCCUAGCUUCGUGACC